RNAcentral lists this ribosomal RNA (480 nucleotides) under uncultured bacterium. Its description in RNAcentral is "bacterial SSU rRNA". It matches the Rfam family "Bacterial small subunit ribosomal RNA", at positions 33 to 541 of the family's 1533-position model. The record is from RNAcentral.
AUACGCUGGCGGCGUGCCCUACACAUACCAGUCGAACGAACUCUUCCGAGUGAUGUGGCGGACGGGUGAGUAACGCGUGAGGAUCUGCCUUCAGGAGGGGGACAACAGUUGGAAACGACUGCUAAUACCCCAUAUGCCCAUGGGUGAAAUGGUGAAUUCCGCCUGAAGAUGAACUCGCGUCAGAUUAGCUAGUUAGGUGGGGUAAGAGCCUACCAAGGCGACGAUCUGUAGCUGGUCAUGAGAGGAUGAUCAGCCACACUGGGACUGAGACACGGCCCAGACUCCUACGGGAGGCAGCAAGUGGGGAAUUUUCCGCAAUGGGCGAAAGCCUGACGGAGCAACGCCGCUGAUGCGGGAUAGACGGCCUGUGGGUUGUAAACCGCUUUAUCUCAGGGAAGAAGAUCUGACGGUACCUGAGGAAUCAGCAUCGGCUAACUCCGUGCCAGCAGACGACGGUAAUACGGAGGAUGCAAGCGUUAU